CCUACGGGAGGCAGCAGUGGGGAAUAUUGCACAAUGGAGGGAACUCUGAUGCAGCGAAGCCACGUGAGUGAAGAAGUAACUCGUUAUGUAAAGCUCUAUCAGUAGGGAAGUAAGAGACGGUACCUGAAAAAGAAUCUCCGGCUAAAUACGUGCCAGCAGCCGUGGUAAUACGUAGGGAGCAAGCGUUAUCCGGAUUUACUGGGUGUAAAGGGAGAGUAGGUGGCAGAGCAAGUCCGAGGUGAAAACCUGAAGCUCAAAUAUGGGAUUGCUUUAGAAACUGGUCAGCUUGAGUGCAGGUGAGGCAAGUGGAAUUCUUGGUGUAGCGGUGAAAUGCGUAGAUAUUAGGAAGAACCCCGGUGGCGAAGGCAGCUUACUGAACUGUAACUGACACUGAGGCUCGAAAGCGUGGGGAGCAAACAGGAUUAGAUACCCGAGUAGUC
Molecule: ribosomal RNA, 440 nt
Filed under: uncultured bacterium
Lineage: Bacteria
Description: partial 16S ribosomal RNA
Rfam family: Bacterial small subunit ribosomal RNA
Source: RNAcentral